CAGCCGCCGCGGUAAUACGUAGGGUGCGAGCGUUAAUCGGAUUUACUGGGCGUAAAGCGUGCGCAGGCGGCCCGUUAAGACAGGUGUGAAAUCCCUGGGCUCAACCUAGGAAUUGCGCUUGUGACUGGCGGGCUCGAGUACGGUAGAGGGGGGUGGAAUUCCUGGUGUAGCAGUGAAAUGCGUAGAGAUCAGGAGGAACACCGAUGGCGAAGGCAGCCCCCUGGGCCUGUACUGACGCUCAUGCACGAAAGCGUGGGGAGCAAACAGGAUUAGAUACCCUGGUAGUCCACGCCCUAAACGAUGGGUACUAGCCGUUUGGUGCGCGAUAGCGCUGAGUGGCGAAGCUACCGCGUGAAGUACCCCGCCUGGGGAGUACGGCCGCAAGGUUGAAACUUAAAGGAAUUGGCGGG
Molecule: ribosomal RNA, 410 nt
Filed under: uncultured microorganism
Description: bacterial SSU rRNA
Rfam family: Bacterial small subunit ribosomal RNA
Source: RNAcentral